Molecule: ribosomal RNA, 110 nt
Filed under: Bacteroidia bacterium
Lineage: Bacteria; Pseudomonadati; Bacteroidota; Bacteroidia
Source: RNAcentral
UUGGGUGACUAUAGCAGCGGGGUUCACCUCUUCCCAUUCCGAACAGAGAAGUUAAAACCGCUCGCGCAGAUGGUACUGCCCAAAAAGCGGGAGAGUAUGUGUUGCCCAUC